UUCAUGGCCCUGAGGAAGAUGGAAAGAACACCUCUAUUUGUAUGGAAAAACAUCAUCACACACCUAAAAAAAUGUCCUGUUAUCCUGAAAAAAAUGUAUAUCCUAAAGAAGCUCAUUUGUACUUCCCAUAGGAGCCUUUUCUCCCUCCUCCCUUUCCCCCACUAAGUUAGGUAUUUAAGCCCCAAGUUCUAAUCACAACUUUGAGUUACUCAUCACUGAACACUCAGGUUUGCAUAAACUCUUCUCUUCUCUUGCUAAUGUGUCUUUUGUCAACUUAAUUUACAGAACCCCAAUCACAGAACCUAAAAGUAUAGAGGAAAAGUUUACCUCCCCUACAUUAUUGAUCUUCUGCCUCCACCUGUAGAGUCUCAGCUUCUAACCCAGGUAAGAUGAUCCGGGAAUCGUCCCCACAAAGGCAUGUUUCCUAAGCCUACUGGUAAUUAUGAGAGAAGAAAAAUUUUCCUUCUAGCUGCACAGGUAUAAAACGGAUGGGUCGGGAUAAACCCACAUUACUCAAAGAAAUAUUUGCAUUUUUAGGCCAACCACUAUCCACAGAAUCUCUGGGCUUAAGAAAAACUAUUCCUUAGGGAGAGCACAAGGAGGAAAUUGCAAAGCAUUUGUCAAAAUAUUUGGCCACCAAAAAAUUCCUGCUUGCUUCACAGAGACAGAUGUGUGAAUGCCACAGCACUCUCUGCUCUGUGUUUUAUGAUCCUCCCCAAAAUAACAGACUCUGUUGGAUUUGCGCUGGUGAUUUGAGAAUAAGAAACUUUAAAAACAACGAGACAACCACUACUCAGGAGGCUGAGGCAGGAGAAUUGCUUGAGUCUGGGAGAUGGAGGUUGCAGUGAGCCGAGAUCACACCACUGUACUCCAGUCUGGCCGACAGAGCGAGACUCUGUCUCAAAAACAAACAAACAAACAAACAAAAAACUAAGGAGGUGGUGGUGAUGAAUGUGACACAAGAAGGCUGAGAGAAAUAAAUGGGUGUUGAUUUUGCUCUUGUUUGGGCAAAAAUUAUAGAUACUGACUUGAGUUUGGAUACUGUUAGCAAAACAUAAUGUUGGCCUGGACAAACACAGUGAGACCCUCAUCUCCACAAAAAAUUAAAAAAGUAAUUGGCAUCGUGGCACACUCCUGUAGUCUCAGCUAUUCUGGAGUCUGAGGCAGGAGGAUUGCUUGAGCCCGGGAGUUUGAGGCUGCAGUGAGCUAUAACAAGAAGAAGAAAUUAAAAAAAAAAAAGAAAUAAAAGAAAAAUACAAGUUUAAGUAGAGGUGUUACAAAGCUAAGACUAAACAUUGGGAGAAUAAAUACAGUAUGUAAAUUUCAAACUUAGAAGAAAAAUGAAAGCAGGUUUGAGCAAAUCAAACAAAGCCAGAAAGAGAAAAACAAGAACAGCGAGAAAGUAUGAAAGACACAAAAUCACUUGGCGGGUGUAAGUCCAAGUAA
This 1446-nucleotide long non-coding RNA is filed under the name Macaca fascicularis (crab-eating macaque). RNAcentral describes it as "lncRNA (ENSMFAG00000047884.1)". The record is from RNAcentral. Lineage: Eukaryota; Metazoa; Chordata; Mammalia; Primates; Cercopithecidae.